Molecule: ribosomal RNA, 431 nt
Filed under: uncultured bacterium
Lineage: Bacteria
Description: partial 16S ribosomal RNA
Rfam family: Bacterial small subunit ribosomal RNA
Source: RNAcentral
AACGAACGCUGGCGGCAGGCUUAACACAUGCAAGUCGAACGCCCCGCUCGGGGCGCGGCGGGCGGGUGAGUAACGCGUGGGAAAGUAUCCUUUUGUUCGGGGCAAAUCCGGGAAACUGGGGCUCAUAUAGGGUAAGACCUCACCGGGCCAGAUUUAUCGCCGUUGGAUAGGGCCGCGUCUGAUAAGCUAGUUGGUAGGGUAAAAGCCUACCAAGGCGACGAUCCCUAGCUGGGCUGAGAGGAUGAUCAGCGACACUGGGAAUGAGACACGGCCCAGACUCCUACGGGAGGCAGCAGUGGGGAAUAUUGGACAAUGGGCGAAAGCCUGAUCCAGCAAUGCCGCGUGAGUGAUGAAGGCCUUAGGGUUGUAAAGCUCUUUUACCCGGGAUGAUAAUGACAGUACCGGGAGAAUAAGCUCCGGCUAACUCCGUG